GUGGUGAACUCAGAGCAGGAGCUAUAAAGAAUGGCUCCUCUGUUUACAGCACACCCAACAGGAAUUCGGGGUCACUGUGAUGAGGGGCCCAAAACUUCUCAUCUCCCUAUGAACAAAUUCCCUACAUGU
This is a small nucleolar RNA of Nycticebus coucang (slow loris), 129 nucleotides long. RefSeq annotates it as small nucleolar RNA SNORA11. The record is from RefSeq and is a predicted model, not a curated record. Lineage: Eukaryota; Metazoa; Chordata; Mammalia; Primates; Lorisidae. The transcript has a single exon.